GAUGAACGCUGGCGGCGUGCCUAAUACAUGCAAGUCGAGCGAACGGACGAGAAGCUUGCUUCUUUGAUGUUAGCGGCGGACGUGUGAGUAACACGUGGAUAACCUACCUAUAAGACUGGUAUAAUUUCGGGAAACCGGAGCUAAUACCGGAUGAUAUUUUGAACCGCAUGGGGCAAUAGUGAAAGACGGUCUUGCUGUCAGUUAUAGCUGGAUCCGCGCUGCAUUAGCUAGUUGGUAAGUUAACGGCUUACCAAGGCAACGAUGCAUAGCCGACCUGAGGGGGUGAUCGGCCGCACUGGAACUGGGACACGGUCCAGACUCCUACGGGAGGCAGCAGUAGGGAAUCUUCCGCAAUGGGCGAAAACCUGACGGAGCAACGCCGCGUGAGUGAUGAAGGUCUUCGGAUCGUAAAACUCUGUUAUUAGGGAAGAACAUAUGUGUAAGUAACUGUGCACAUCUUGACGGUACCUAAUCAGAAAGCCACGGCUAACUACGUG
This 497-nucleotide ribosomal RNA is filed under the name uncultured bacterium. RNAcentral's name for it is "partial 16S ribosomal RNA". It matches the Rfam family "Bacterial small subunit ribosomal RNA", at positions 28 to 507 of the family's 1533-position model. The record is from RNAcentral.